GCUGAAUAAAUCACACGAGACAUGGCAAUUUUUGAAUGGAAGAAGACAAUUAUGAUUAUUCUAUCAAAAUUUCUUGCAAACGGCACACUCAGCGAUCGCCUCGUCCCAGGAGAGAUGCCAAGCGCCUGAAUGUCUACAGGCUGGCCUUAGAGAGUGCCAUCCAGAGCCGAUGAGGCUGUGCCCUUGAAAUGCUCACAGAGAGGACCACACACUCAGGAACCCACGUGCGAGCAGCCAACAUGUGUUCGACCAAGCAUCACAGCAUGGACGCAUUUCCACCAGGCUGCGGGGAAAGGCUCUUCUCGGAAUUUGGAAUUUAGUGGCUUAAGAAAUCCUUUAUAAUUCCAUAUUGUCAGUUCUGGAUUUAUUAAAGGUCACAAAAAAGCAAUAUUCUUUUAUACCAGAAAAGCAAGCUCUGAAUUAAGGUCUGCCUAAAACUACAUUUUAUGGUAAUGAAGAC
This 460-nucleotide long non-coding RNA is filed under the name Fukomys damarensis (Damara mole-rat). Its description in RNAcentral is "lncRNA (ENSFDAG00000023036.1)". Lineage: Eukaryota; Metazoa; Chordata; Mammalia; Rodentia; Bathyergidae. The record is from RNAcentral.